RNAcentral lists this ribosomal RNA (515 nucleotides) under uncultured bacterium. Its description in RNAcentral is "partial 16S ribosomal RNA". It matches the Rfam family "Bacterial small subunit ribosomal RNA", at positions 28 to 523 of the family's 1533-position model. The record is from RNAcentral.
GAUGAACGCUGGCGGCGUGCCUAAUACAUGCAAGUCGAGCGAGUGGAUUAAGAGCUUGCUCUUAUGAAGUUAGCGGCGGACGGGUGAGUAACACGUGGGUAACCUGCCCAUAAGACUAGGAUAACUCCGGGAAACCGGGGCUAAUACCGGAUAACAUUUUGAACCGCAUGGUUCGAAAUUGAAAGGCGGCUUCGGCUGUCACUUAUGGAUGGACCCGCGUCGCAUUAGCUAGUUGGUGAGGUAACGGCUCACCAAGGCAACGAUGCGUAGCCGACCUGAGAGGGUGAUCGGCCACACUGGGACUGAGACACGGCCCAGACUCCUACGGGAGGCAGCAGUGGGGAAUCUUCCGCAAUGGACGAAAGUCUGACGGAGCAACGCCGCGUGAGUGAUGAAGGCUUUCGGGUCGUAAAACUCUGUUGUUAGGGAAGAACAAGUGCUAGUUGAAUAAGCUGGCACCUUGACGGUACCUAACCAGAAAGCCACGGCUAACUACGUGCCAGCAGCCGCAGUAA